Molecule: unclassified non-coding RNA, 400 nt
Filed under: uncultured fungus
Lineage: Eukaryota; Fungi
Description: sequence contains ITS1
Source: RNAcentral
CUGGACUACACGGGUUUCUAAUCCUGUUUGCUACCCAUGCUUUCGCUCCUCAGCGUCAGUACCGGCCCAGAGUGCUGCCUUCGCAAUAGGUGUUCCUCCUAAUAUCUGCGCAUUUCACCGCUACACUAGGAAUUCCACACUCCUCUACCGGACUCAAGUCAACGCAGUAUCGGAUGGCGUCUCGAAGUUGAGCCUCGAGUUUUCACAUCCGACUUACGUAACCGCCUACGAGCCCUUUACGCCCAAUAAAUCCGGACAACGCUCGCCCCCUACGUCUUACCGCGGCUGCUGGCACGUAGUUGGCCGGAGCUUCUUCUGUAGGUACCGUCAUUUUCGUCCCUACUGAAAGGGGUUUACGACCCUAGGGCCUUCAUCCCCCACGCGGCGUCGCUGCAUCAGG